Long non-coding RNA from Oncorhynchus keta (chum salmon), 2524 nucleotides. RefSeq lists it as uncharacterized. The transcript has 6 exons. NCBI's taxonomy places the organism in Eukaryota, Metazoa, Chordata, Actinopteri, Salmoniformes, Salmonidae. The record is from RefSeq and is a predicted model, not a curated record.
AGCUGAGCAAAUGUGAUAACCAGCAGAAAUGAUGUUCUUAAUGGAUUCAUUAUCUCCACCUUCAGAGCCAGUCGUUGGCUGACCAAGGUUGAUCCAGUCUGACCACACACAUUUUUCUUCACCACUGCAUUGGGUAGGUGUUACUCCUGUUGAGGUUGAUGUAGGAGUAGUGGUUGGAGUCGUACUAGAGCUGGGAGUCUGAGUUGUUGAUUUUGUUGUAGGUGGAGCUGUCGAUGUUGAGGUUGAAGUAGUGGGUGUAGGAGUAGUGAUAUGAGGAACUGUUGUUGUUGUGGUGGUGGGGAUGUGUGUUAUGGUUCCACAUUGACAACAUUUCACUCGAAUCUCGUAAUCAAAGCACUUUUGCUGAAGACCUUGCUUAUUGUUUUGACAAAUCAGUCCAACGGAUGGGUUGCAAGUCACGUCUUGGCCAAGCUGAGAGAUCUGAAGUCCAGGGUAUUGUUUUGCUCUACAUUCAACUGCCUCUGGAGCUGAGCAAAUGUGAUAACCAGCAGAAAUUAUGUUCUUAAUGGAUUCAUUAUCUCCACCUUCAGAGCCAGUCGUUGGCUGACCAAGGUUGAUCCAGUCUGACCACACACAUUUUUCUUCACCACUGCAUUGGGUAGGUGUUACUCCUGUUGAGGUUGAUGUAGGAGUAGUGGUUGGAGUCGUACUAGAGCUGGGAGUCUGAGUUGUUGAUUUUGUUGUAGGUGGAGCUGUCGAUGUUGAGGUUGAAGUAGUGGGUGUAGGAGUAGUGAUAUGAGGAACUGUUGUUGUUGUGGUGGUGGGGAUGUGUGUUAUGGUUCCACAUUGACAACAUUUCACUCGAAUCUCGUAAUCAAAGCACUUUUGCUGAAGACCUUGCUUAUUGUUUUGACAAAUCAGUCCAACGGAUGGGUUGCAAGUCACGUCUUGGCCAAGCUGAGAGAUCUGAAGUCCAGGGUAUUGUUUUGCUCUACAUUCAACUGCCUCUGGAGCUGAGCAAAUGUGAUAACCAGCAGAAAUUAUGUUCUUAAUGGAUUCAUUAUCUCCACCUUCAGAGCCAGUCGUUGGCUGACCAAGGUUGAUCCAGUCUGACCACACACAUUUUUCUUCACCACUGCAUUGGGUAGGUGUUACUCCUGUUGAGGUUGAUGUAGGAGUAGUGGUUGGAGUCGUACUAGAGCUGGGAGUCUGAGUUGUUGAUUUUGUUGUAGGUGGAGCUGUCGAUGUUGAGGUUGUAGUAGUGGGUGUAGGAGUAGUGAUAUGAGGAACUGUUGUUGUUGUGGUGGUGGGGAUGUGUGUUAUGGUUCCACAUUGACAACAUUUCACUCGAAUCUCGUAAUCAAAGCACUUUUGCUGAAGACCUUGCUUAUUGUUUUGACAAAUCAGUCCAACGGAUGGGUUGCAAGUCACGUCUUGGCCAAGCUGAGAGAUCUGAAGUCCAGGGUAUUGUUUUGCUCUACAUUCAACUGCCUCUGGAGCUGAGCAAAUGUGAUAACCAGCAGAAAUUAUGUUCUUAAUGGAUUCAUUAUCUCCACCUUCAGAGCCAGUCGUUGGCUGACCAAGGUUGAUCCAGUCUGACCACACACAUUUUUCUUCACCACUGCAUUGGGUAGGUGUUACUCCUGUUGAGGUUGAUGUAGGAGUAGUGGUUGGAGUCGUACUAGAGCUGGGAGUCUGAGUUGUUGAUUUUGUUGUAGGUGGAGCUGUCGAUGUUGAGGUUGAAGUAGUGGGUGUAGGAGUAGUGAUAUGAGGAACUGUUGUUGUUGUGGUGGUGGGGAUGUGUGUUAUGGUUCCACAUUGACAACAUUUCACUCGAAUCUCGUAAUCAAAGCACUUUUGCUGAAGACCUUGCUUAUUGUUUUGACAAAUCAGUCCAACGGAUGGGUUGCAAGUCACGUCUUGGCCAAGCUGAGAGAUCUGAAGUCCAGGGUAUUGUUUUGCUCUACAUUCAACUGCCUCUGGAGCUGAGCAAAUGUGAUAACCAGCAGAAAUUAUGUUCUUAAUGGAUUCAUUAUCUCCACCUUCAGAGCCAGUCGUUGGCUGACCAAGGUUGAUCCAGUCUGACCACACACAUUUUUCUUCACCACUGCAUUGGGUAGGUGUUACUCCUGUUGAGGUUGAUGUAGGAGUAGUGGUUGGAGUCGUACUAGAGCUGGGAGUCUGAGUUGUUGUUUUUGUUGUAGGUGGAGCUGUCGAUGUUGAGGUUGUAGUAGUGGGUGUAGGAGUAGUGAUAUGAGGAACUGUUGUUGUUGUGGUGGUUGGGAUGUGUGUUAUGGUUCCACAUUGACAACAUUUCACUCGAAUCUCGUAAUCAAAGCACUUUUGCUGAAGACCUUGCUUAUUGUUUUGACAAAUCAGUCCAACGGAUGGGUUGCAAGUCACGUCUUGGCCAAGCUGAGAGAUCUGAAGUCCAGGGUAUUGUUUUGCUCUACAUUCAACUGCCUCUGGAGCUGAGCAAAUGUGAUAACCAGCAGAAAUUAUGUUCUUAAUGGAUUCAUUAUCUCCACCUUCAGAGCCAGACGUUGGCUGACCGAGGUUGAUC